AGCGAACGCUGGCGGCAGGCUUAACACAUGCAAGUCGAGCGGGCCCUUCGGGUCAGCGGCAGACGGGUGAGUAACACGUGGGAACGUACCCUUCGGUUCGGAAUAACUCAGGGAAACUUGAGCUAAUACCGGAUACGCCCUUUGGGGGAAGGGUUUACUGCCGAAGGAUCGGCCCGCGUCUGAUUAGCUAGUUGGUGGGGUAAGUGGCCCACCAAGGCGACGAUCAGUAGCUGGUCUGAGAGGAUGAUCAGCCACACUGGGACUGAGACACGGCCCAGACUCCUACGGGAGGGCAGCAGUGGGGAAUAUUGGACAAUGGGCGCAAGCCUGAUCCAGCCAUGCCGCGUGAGUGAUGAAGGCCUUUAGGGUUGUAAAG
RNAcentral lists this ribosomal RNA (376 nucleotides) under uncultured bacterium. Its description in RNAcentral is "bacterial SSU rRNA". It matches the Rfam family "Bacterial small subunit ribosomal RNA", at positions 29 to 430 of the family's 1533-position model. The record is from RNAcentral.